AGUGAACGCUGGCGGUAGGCCUAACACAUGCAAGUCGAACGGCAGCACAGUAAGAGCUUGCUCUUACGGGUGGCGAGUGGCGGACGGGUGAGGAAUACAUCGGAAUCUACUUUUUCGUGGGGGAUAACGUAGGGAAACUUACGCUAAUACCGCAUACGACCUACGGGUGAAAGCAGGGGAUCUUCGGACCUUGCGCGAUUGAAUGAGCCGAUGUCGGAUUAGCUAGUUGGCGGGGUAAAGGCCCACCAAGGCGACGAUCCGUAGCUGGUCUGAGAGGAUGAUCAGCCACACUGGAACUGACACGGUCCAGACUCCUACGGGAGGCAGCAGUGGGGAAUAUUGGACAAUGGGCGCAAGCCUGAUCCAGCCAUACCGCGUGGGUGAAGAAGGCCUUCGGGUUGUAAAGCCCUUUUGUUGGGAAAGAAAAGCAGCAGGUUAAUACCCCGCUGUUCUGACGGUACCCAAAGAAUAAGCACCGGCUAACUUCGU
This 489-nucleotide ribosomal RNA is filed under the name uncultured bacterium. RNAcentral describes it as "partial 16S ribosomal RNA". It matches the Rfam family "Bacterial small subunit ribosomal RNA", at positions 29 to 506 of the family's 1533-position model. The record is from RNAcentral.